GUCGAAAAGGACAUCCAUGUAAUGCUUUGUUUGGCAAUAAAUGAUGGAGAUAUCGCAACUACUUCUCGUGCUGAAGUCUAAAGCAGCAAAAUAAUGAUGGGUUCCUCAUUUACUUCCAGUUGAUCAAGAACCAAUCUAACCAAACCAACCCAACAGAAAAUAUAAAAUGGUGCAACACAAUGUUAGCCUGCAAACCAUGAAUGCAUAUGUAAAAUUGGAAUAAUGCUAACAAGGGAAUAAAGACCAGAAAAUACGGUACAAAGAGGGAAAUUUUAUAAUAAAAAUAGACCACAUAUAUGUCCGAAGCCAUGAGUAGAGUAGUGAACAAGGGCAAGACAAAAUUGCAACACUUAAAAGUUCAGGUUAAUACCAAAAUGUCUUUUGAUGAUGGAUGAUACUUUAUACUGUAGAUCUCACCAAGAAGAAAAAAAAAGGGAAAAA
Molecule: unclassified non-coding RNA, 441 nt
Filed under: Hevea brasiliensis (rubber tree)
Lineage: Eukaryota; Viridiplantae; Streptophyta; Magnoliopsida; Malpighiales; Euphorbiaceae
Source: RNAcentral